UUGACGUUAGCGACAGAAGAAGCACCGGCUAACUCCGUGCCAGCAGCCGCGGUAAUACGGAGGGUGCGAGCGUUAAUCGGAAUUACUGGGCGUAAAGCGCAUGCAGGUGGUUUGUUAAGUCAGAUGUGAAAGCCCGGGGCUCAACCUCGGAAUAGCAUUUGAAACUGGCAGACUAGAGUACUGUAGAGGGGGGUAGAAUUUCAGGUGUAGCGGUGAAAUGCGUAGAGAUCUGAAGGAAUACCGGUGGCGAAGGCGGCCCCCUGGACAGAUACUGACACUCAGAUGCGAAAGCGUGGGGAGCAAACAGGAUUAGAUACCCUGGUAGUCCACGCCGUAAACGAUGUCUACUUGGAGGUUGUGGCCUUGAGCCGUGGCUUUCGGAGCUAACGCGUUAAGUAGACCGCCUGGGGAGUACGGUCGCAAGAUUAAAACUCAAAUGAAUUGACGGGGGCCCGCACAAGCGGUGGAGCAUGUGGUUUAAUUCGAUGCAACGCGAAGAACCUUACCUACUCUUGACAUCCAGAGAACUUUCCAGAGAUGGAUUGGUGCCUUCGGGAACUCUGAGACAGGUGCUGCAUGGCUGUCGUCAGCUCGUGUUGUGAAAUGUUGGGUUAAGUCCCGCAACGAGCGCAACCCUUAUCCUUGUUUGCCAGCGAGUAAUGUCGGGAACUCCAGGGAGACUGCCGGUGAUAAACCGGAGGAAGGUGGGGACGACGUCAAGUCAUCAUGGCCCUUACGAGUAGGGCUACACACGUGCUACAAUGGCGCAUACAGAGGGCAGCAAGCUAGCGAUAGUGAGCGAAUCCCAAAAAGUGCGUCGUAGUCCGGAUUGGAGUCUGCAACUCGACUCCAUGAAGUCGGAAUCGCUAGUAAUCGUGGAUCAGAAUGCCACGGUGAAUACGUUCCCGGGCCUUGUACACACCGCCCGUCACACCAUGGGAGUGGGCUGCAAAAGAAGUAGGUAGUUUAACCUUCGGGAGGA
This 982-nucleotide ribosomal RNA is filed under the name Vibrio sp. PaD3.21a. Its description in RNAcentral is "bacterial SSU rRNA". It matches the Rfam family "Bacterial small subunit ribosomal RNA", at positions 469 to 1450 of the family's 1533-position model. The record is from RNAcentral. Lineage: Bacteria; Pseudomonadati; Pseudomonadota; Gammaproteobacteria; Vibrionales; Vibrionaceae.